GGAAUCACCAGCCUAGAAGUCCGAUACAUCGACAACUCCAUCGGCGAUGGCAUCAAUAUGUAUUGAGCUUGCUGGACCAAUAAUUUCGUUGCCGAUGAAAGUUUGUCGGUAGCAAAUUUCGAAUAUUUGUUCAUUUACCUGGCGAUUUCCAUGUAUUUGAUUACAACUGGAUGCGAUUUCUGAUGAGUUCUAUGCACAUGUAUCACUAAUUCCUGACAAUCAGGGAGCACUUGCUCUGGACAUUGGAAGAUUAUAUGGAAUGGGAGUUUUCUCUUAUGUGGUAGUUUAAUCGAUUGCUUUAUUAAAAUAUCCAACUAUAGUUAUGUGUUCAAACUUCUUGGUUCUGACAUUUACCUUGACAACAA
This is a long non-coding RNA of Solanum stenotomum, 365 nucleotides long. RefSeq lists it as uncharacterized. The record is from RefSeq and is a predicted model, not a curated record. The transcript has 3 exons. Lineage: Eukaryota; Viridiplantae; Streptophyta; Magnoliopsida; Solanales; Solanaceae.